RNAcentral lists this ribosomal RNA (406 nucleotides) under uncultured bacterium. RNAcentral describes it as "partial 16S ribosomal RNA". It matches the Rfam family "Bacterial small subunit ribosomal RNA", at positions 29 to 526 of the family's 1533-position model. The record is from RNAcentral.
AUUGAACGCUGGCGGCAAGCCUAACACCUGCAAGUAGAACGAGUGGCGGACGGGUGAGUAAUGACUGGGAAACUGCCUGCUGGAGGGGGAUAACUCCUGGAAAAGGUAGCUAAUACCGCAUACCAUCGGAUGUGCCCAGAUGGGAUUAGCUGGUAGGGGGUGUAAAGGCUAACCUAGGCGACGAUCCCUAGCGGGGAUGGUAGGAUGACCAGCCACACUGGAACGGCGACAUGUUCCAGACGCCUCCGGGAGGCAGAAGUGGGGAAAAUGACACAAUGGGGGCAAGCCUGCUGCAGCCACGCCGCGUGUAUGAAGAAGUCCUUCGGGUUGUAAAGUCCGUUCCGCGGGGAGGCGUUACCCGCAGAAGAAGCACCGGCUAACUCCGUGCCAGCAGCCGCGGUAAUUC